Dreissena polymorpha is the source of this 313-nucleotide long non-coding RNA. RefSeq lists it as uncharacterized. Lineage: Eukaryota; Metazoa; Mollusca; Bivalvia; Myida; Dreissenidae. The record is from RefSeq and is a predicted model, not a curated record. The transcript has 3 exons.
GUUUUUCUAAAGGUAGUGUCAUUUCGUCUCUAAUACUCGACCUGGCCGGCUGCACCAUGUUCAUAGCGACCAUUCUCAUGCUGUUGGCACUCUUGGUUGCCAUUCAGGCGUGGCCAUUGUGGGGUGGAAGCGAUGAUUGGGACACGAAUUGGUUGGGCAACCUUGGAGGCGGUUCGGAUUGGGGCUGGGACUGGGACGAUUAGAGCACAGAAUCAAACGUGGUGAAUUGAGUACAUGAUGACAUCACAGACAGCCGAUGACCUACUGGACAUGUUAUGAAUGUGGAUUGAUAUUGGCAAUACAAUAAAUCCGA